This is a long non-coding RNA of Daphnia magna, 1383 nucleotides long. RefSeq lists it as uncharacterized. Lineage: Eukaryota; Metazoa; Arthropoda; Branchiopoda; Diplostraca; Daphniidae. The record is from RefSeq and is a predicted model, not a curated record. The transcript has 6 exons.
UUGUGGUAGUCGUAGGCCUAGUAGUUGUAGGCUUAGUUGUUGUAGUUGUUGUAGGCCUAGUUGUCGGUGGUGUGCUGUUAAUUGUCGUUUUUAGGGCCGUUGUGGCUAUUGUUGUUUUAAUUGUUGUUGUGCUUAAUUUUGUAGUCGGCUUUGCUGUUGUCGUGGUGCUUGAAGUAGACUAAAUAGAUUUUUGUGUGGUGGGCGUGGUUAAGUUUUCGUUGUUUGCUUUACUUUCCUUUUAAGAAGAGGUGGUAUAGAUGGGAGUUGUGUUCCGUCCAAUGAUUGUUGAGUGUGAAGCGCUAUAAUGGCUGCUGCCGAAAGCGUCCGUAUUUGGUGCGGGUUUCGAUAUUCGAAGCUCAAAUGUUGUUUUCUACGUAAUCCAUGGCAAUGUCCUAAACUCAGACGUCCUAAUUUUAGUUUGAGACAUUUUCUGUCUGACGCCGGUGAGUGUAGACCAGUUCUGUCUGUUGCCAUGAGCUGUCCUGUCCCAGACAGCACAAAACUGCCGUGGACUUUCAGUUGCCUUCCCGUCGGAUAGAUAAGUGGGAGAUUAUUUUAGGAUAUCCAUGGGAAGGUGAAACGGGAGCUUGAAAGGGAAUAAUUCUUCCCCAUGUCCUCCAAAAAACUUCCAGCUUUAUAUAAAAAUAAAGGAUGUUGUUCGGUGGUCUUUGGAGCCUUACAGGAUGACACAUAAUAAUGCGUUAUUGUUUGUGGUUGUAAUAAUGAGUAAUUUUUCCUCAAGACUAAAAUAUAGAAAUGGCAACGAAGUUUUUUUUUUCAACAGUCAACGUCUUUUAAGCCAAGCGUCUUGUUUGUCAGUAAUUUGAAGUCGCCAUUUCUGACUCAGUAAGAUCUGUGUUUUUUUCUCUAGAAAAUCCAUUUGCUCUGGUAGCUUUACUAGGAGGUCUUGUUUGCAAUUUGUUUUCUGAAGCUGCCAGCAGGUAUAGCCCAUAGAGUACACUGUGCUCAUCACUUCUUUGCAGUUGUGGAAGUUCAGGUACAGGUAUUUCAUCCACUGUUCUUCUUUGGUCUUCGAACAACAUUGUCCACUGGGUUUAUCACUUCUUCGCAGUUGUGGAACUUCAGCUACAGGUAUAGUAGUCCCUGUUUUUGGACUUCGAAUAACAUUGUCCACAGGGCUCAUCACUUCUUCGCAGUUGUGGAACUUCAGCUACAGGUAUAGUAGUCCCUGUUCUUUUGACUUCGAACAACAUUGUCCACAGGGCUCAUCACUUCUUCACAGUUGUGGAACUUCAGCUACAGGUAUAGCAGCCACUGUUCUAGUUUCAACUUCGAACAUAAUUGCCCACCUUGAAUCUCAUUUGCUCAUGCUUUUUGUCAAAAAUAAAGAAAUGAAGCCACAUCAGGCGAGCAACACAGAAA